Amblyraja radiata (thorny skate) is the source of this 204-nucleotide long non-coding RNA. RefSeq lists it as uncharacterized. The transcript has 3 exons. The record is from RefSeq and is a predicted model, not a curated record. Lineage: Eukaryota; Metazoa; Chordata; Chondrichthyes; Rajiformes; Rajidae.
GCUAGGUUUCAGGGUACAGCCUAAGAAUAAAAGAACGUACCUUUAGAUUGGAGACGAGGAGAAUUUUUUUUAGCCAGAGGUGGGUGAAUCUAUUUAAUUAAUUGCCACAAACGGUUGUGGAGACCAAGUCAUUGGGUAUUUUUAAAGCAGAGAUUGAUAGGUUCUUGAUCAAUAAGGGCAUCAACGAAUAUAUGAAAAAGGCAU